CUCCGCGAGUUACGCUACGAACAUGAUCAGUCGUUCCGAGAGUCCCCACGUAUCUGACACGGACCAGAUCCUACGAGCGCCAUGAGGAAUUUGUCAUUGGCAGGCUGAACCAGCCAGUAGCUGGCAGACGACUGCCCUAUUGAUUGUAACUGCUUUUGUACGGGGUUACGUGGUCACUUGUGCAUAUUGCAAGUACCGUACGAUAAUGACCGCUUAUUCCGUGCCAGCAGCCGCCGUAUACGGAAGGUCAGGGCGUAUCCGGAUUUAUUGGGUUUAAAGGAGCGUAGGCCGCCGGUUAAGCGUGUGUGAAAAGCAGUGGCUCAACCACUGUCGUGCAGCGCGAACUGUCCGGCUGAGUAUCAUGAAAAGGUUGCGGAAUUCGUGGUGUAGCGGUGAAAUGCUUAGAUAUCACGAAGACCUCCGAUUGCGAAGGCAGCAGCCUGUGUGUUCACUGACGCUGAAGCUCGAAGGUGCGGGUAUCGAACAGGAUUAGAUACCCUGGUAGUCCGCACGGUAAACGAUGGAUGCUCGUUGUUCGGUGUUUUUUAUGCUGAGUGACUUAGCGAAAGCGUUAAGCAUCCCACCUGGGGAGUACGCCGGCAACGGUGAAACUCAAAGGAAUUGACGGGGGCCCGCACAAGCGGAGGAACAUGUGGUUUAAUUCGAUGAUACGCGAGGAACCUUACCCAGGCUUGAAUUGCAGGGAGACGUCGCGGAGACGCGUCGGUCCUUCGGGAUUCCUGUGAAGGUGCUGCAUGGUUGUCGUCAGCUCGUGCCGUGAGGUGUCGGCUUAAGUGCCAUAACGAGCGCAACCCCUGCGUGUAGUUGCCAUCAGGUGAUGCUGGGCACUCUGCACGGACUGCCACCGUAAGGUGUGAGGAAGGUGGGGAUGACGUCAAAUCAGCACGGCCCUUACGUCUGGGGCUACACACGUGUUACAAUGGGUGGUACAGCGAGUUGUCCGCCGGCAACGUCGGACCAAUCUUGAAAACCAUUCUCAGUUCGGAUUGGGGUCUGCAACCCGACCCCAUGAAGCUGGAUUCGCUAGUAAUCGCGCAUCAGCCAUGGCGCGGUGAAUACGUUCCCGGGCCUUGUACACACCGCCCGUCAAGCCAUGAAAGCCGGGGGCGCCUGAAGUCCGUUUCCGCGAGGUUCGGCCUAGGGUGAAACUGGUGAUUGGGGCUAAGUCGUAACAAGGUAAAUCACUGGCCCGUCGUUAAACCCC
RNAcentral lists this ribosomal RNA (1225 nucleotides) under uncultured bacterium. RNAcentral's name for it is "partial 16S ribosomal RNA". It matches the Rfam family "Bacterial small subunit ribosomal RNA". The record is from RNAcentral.